UUGGGACUCCAACCAUCACAUGAGAAAUCAAAUUAGCUUUCCAAAGAGUACUCAAACGUCCAAAACGGACUCCAUACGUAGGAGAUAUGGACAUCUUAAUCCAGGGUUGUCAGGCUGCGACGUGGCAAUCCGUAUUGAAUUCAAAUUUUCCGAUCUUCGAACUCCUUCUUAAGUCCAAACCAAAUCCUUGCCAAUAUUGAAGAAUGAAGUCUUUAAAUCCCUUCUAAAUUUAUGGUAGAGUCGGAUAUGAUAAAUAAGGGCUUCUAGAACAGAGACUCUCCAUGUUUUAUGAUCCACGCUCGUACAAAAACUCCAAAUCUUGUAAAGUUUGAUCCGUUGGAAAGAAAACUUGAUACCCUUUCUAAAUCUCACCUUUUAAAUCCAUGGAAUCUUUUGUAUUGGUGCGCACAACUCAAGAGAGAUGACUGCCAGAACAAAUGGCCCUGUAACUUGCGUUCCUGAUCCUCAUCAUUUUUCCCUUCUUCAAAACGAGUCGUCCUUGACUUGUGCUGGUUGUUGAAGCUUUGGUCAAUGACGGAGAUGAUGACUAAUACACUGUUUUGACUAACCAUGCUGCCAUCCCAACAUGGAUUCAGCCACAAACACAACUUAAAAAAAUAUAGACUCGAUGACACAACUGAUACCUACAAACUAGCAUUACAAAUUAGAAACAAUUCCAUCUAAUGUGAAACAAAUCCAAUGACAAUAGCACCUGACAAGAAUUAACAAAAGUUUGGAACUCAUCCAAUCCUAUUCUACAACAUCAGCAUUUUCUCAACACCAAUCUAAAACUGCACCUUCAAUUGCAAAACAAGCUUGCGAAGAAUAAAGAUCGUACUGAGUCAACCCAGAAAAUUGAUACCAAAUAAUACGGAGAUGGCCCGAUUUUCUCGACAUAGGAUCGCUGAACCACAUGUAGUGGUAGAAAGAUAACUAUUG
This 939-nucleotide long non-coding RNA is filed under the name Setaria viridis. RNAcentral's name for it is "long non-coding RNA (SVIR_LNC007887)". Lineage: Eukaryota; Viridiplantae; Streptophyta; Magnoliopsida; Poales; Poaceae. The record is from RNAcentral.